UACAGAGGUCCCGAGCGUUGUUCGGAUUCACUGGGCGUAAAGAGCGUGUAGGCGGCCAGGUAGGUCGGUUGUGAAAACUGGAGGCUCAACCUUCAGAGGUCGACCGAAACCAUCUGGCUAGAGUCCGGGAGAGGAGAGUGGAAUUCCUGGUGUAGCGGUGAAAUGCGCAGAUAUCAGGAAGAACACCCGUGGCGAAAGCGGCUCUCUGGAACGGUACUGACGCUGAGACGCGAAAGCGUGGGGAGCGAACAGG
This 253-nucleotide ribosomal RNA is filed under the name uncultured bacterium. RNAcentral describes it as "partial 16S ribosomal RNA". It matches the Rfam family "Bacterial small subunit ribosomal RNA", at positions 524 to 776 of the family's 1533-position model. The record is from RNAcentral.